Molecule: long non-coding RNA, 339 nt
Filed under: Lotus japonicus
Lineage: Eukaryota; Viridiplantae; Streptophyta; Magnoliopsida; Fabales; Fabaceae
Description: long non-coding RNA (LJAP_LNC001108)
Source: RNAcentral
AUCACUUCAGCAGCUGGUUCCACCCGGGUAGGCUUCACCACUAUUCUGACCUGCUUCUUCUUCUUCUUGGGAGAAGGAGGACCAUCCUCAUUAUCACCAUCAUCACCAUCAUCUGGCUUGCUGGUUUCAUCAUGUUUUCUCUUGGAUUGACCAGCCUUCUUCCCUUUGGUCAGAGAGACAUCUGAUUCCUCAGAGGAUUCUUCUAAGAUCAUCUUCCUCUGAACCUUCUUCUUGAGAGGAGAAUCAAGCUCUAGUGCAGGAGGCAACAUUCUGAAGAAUUCAUCAACAUCAAUCUCAAAGCCUUGACUCUUCAGAUCAUCAACGAAGCACCUGAUUGCU